This 274-nucleotide ribosomal RNA is filed under the name uncultured bacterium. RNAcentral's name for it is "partial 16S ribosomal RNA". It matches the Rfam family "Bacterial small subunit ribosomal RNA", at positions 523 to 796 of the family's 1533-position model. The record is from RNAcentral.
AUACAGGGGGUGCGAGCGUUAAUCGGAAUUACUGGGCGUAAAGAGUACGUAGGCGGUUGCUUAAGUCAGAUGUGAAAGCCCCGGGCUCAACCUGGGAACUGCAUUUGAAACUGAGUGACUAGAGUUUAAGAGAGGGGAGUAGAAUUCCGGGUGUAGCGGUGAAAUGCGUAGAGAUCCGGAGGAAUACCAGUGGCGAAGGCGGCUCCCUGGCUUAAAACUGACGCUGAGGUACGAAAGCGUGGGUAGCGAACAGGAUUAGAAACCCCUGUAGUCC